UACGGAGGGUGCGAGCGUUAAUCGGAAUUACUGGGCGUAAAGCGCGCGUAGGCGGCUAAGUAAGCCGGUUGUGAAAGCCCCGGGCUCAACCUGGGAAUGGCAUCCGGAACUGGCAGGCUAGAGUCUUGUAGAGGGGGGUAGAAUUCCAGGUGUAGCGGUGAAAUGCGUAGAGAUCGGGAGGAAUACCAGUGGCGAAGGCGGCCGUCUGGUCUGACACUGACGCGGAGGUGGGAAAGCGUGGGUAGCAAACAGG
Molecule: unclassified non-coding RNA, 253 nt
Filed under: uncultured Halomonadaceae bacterium
Lineage: Bacteria; Pseudomonadati; Pseudomonadota; Gammaproteobacteria; Oceanospirillales; Halomonadaceae
Description: contains 16S-23S intergenic spacer region
Rfam family: Bacterial small subunit ribosomal RNA
Source: RNAcentral